UUGGCUCAGAACGAACGCUGGCGGCAGGCCUAACACAUGCAAGUCGAACGGUAGCAGGAAGAAGCUUGCUUCUUUGCUGACGAGUGGCGGACGGGUGAGUAAUGUCUGGGGAUCUGCCCGGUAGAGGGGGAUAACCACUGGAAACGGUGGCUAAUACCGCAUAAUCUCGCAAGAGCAAAGUGGGGGACCUUCGGGCCUCACACUACCGGAUGAACCCAGAUGGGAUUAGCUAGUUGGUGGGGUAACGGCUCACCAAGGCGACGAUCCCUAGCUGGUCUGAGAGGAUGACCA
Molecule: ribosomal RNA, 291 nt
Filed under: uncultured bacterium
Lineage: Bacteria
Description: partial 16S ribosomal RNA
Rfam family: Bacterial small subunit ribosomal RNA
Source: RNAcentral